This 369-nucleotide long non-coding RNA is filed under the name Salvia miltiorrhiza (redroot sage). RNAcentral's name for it is "long non-coding RNA (SMIL_LNC005339)". Lineage: Eukaryota; Viridiplantae; Streptophyta; Magnoliopsida; Lamiales; Lamiaceae. The record is from RNAcentral.
GAUAAAAUCAACGAUAACAAUAUUAUAUAUCAUCCAAAAAAUUCAUACAUUAUUAUACAAAUGAACCAAAUAUCAAGUAUACAUCAUCGUUGCAUAUUCCGAUUCAAAAUUGAAAAUACCAAUUACCUUAUAGCUAAAACAAAAAUCUAUCAUACAAUGUUUCUAGCACCAAGUCCUCAAGAACUAGUUAAUCAACCUGCUAUGAUUCUCUGGUUGUCUUUUGACCUCAAGCCAUCCCAAGCUACCAUAAAUUUAUUACGCAUUCUUCUAGUUGCCUCAUGCUCAAAAGCAUCGCCACCGGCGCCAAGUAUGCUGUUCCAAACUCUUCUUUACUCUUCAGUGCUAGCGCUGAAGAGUAAAAGGUUUUAC